ACUAAGCGUACACGGUGGAUGCCCUGGCAGUCAGAGGCGAUGAAGGACGUGCUAAUCUGCGAUAAGCGUCGGUAAGGUGAUAUGAACCGUUAUAACCGGCGAUUUCCGAAUGGGGAAACCCAGUGUGWUUCGWCACACUAUCAUUAACUGAAUCCAUAGGUUAAUGAGGCGAACCGGGGGAACUGAAACAUCUAAGUACCCCGAGGAAAAGAAAUCAACCGAGAUUCCCCCAGUAGCGGCGAGCGAACGGGGAGCAGCCCAGAGCCUGAAUCAGUGUGUGUGUUAGUGGAAGCGUCUGGAAAGGCGCGCGAUACAGGGUGACAGCCCCGUACACAAAAAUGCACAUGCUGUGAGCUCGAUGAGUAGGGCGGGACACGUGGUAUCCUGUCUGAAUAUGGGGGGACCAUCCUCCAAGGCUAAAUACUCCUGACUGACCGAUAGUGAACCAGUACCGUGAGGGAAAGGCGAAAAGAACCCCGGCGAGGGGAGUGAAAAAGAACCUGAAACCGUGUACGUACAAGCAGUGGGAGCACGCUUMGGCGUGUGACUGCGUACCUUUUGUAUAAUGGGUCAGCGACUUAUAUUCUGUAGCAAGGUUAACCGAAUAGGGGAGCCGAAGGGAAACCGAGUCUUAACUGGGCGUUAAGUUGCAGGGUAUAGACCCGAAACCCGGUGAUCUAGCCAUGGGCAGGUUGAAGGUUGGGUAACACUAACUGGAGGACCGAACCGACUAAUGUUGAAAAAUUAGCGGAUGACUUGUGGCUGGGGGUGAAAGGCCAAUCAAACCGGGAGAUAGCUGGUUCUCCCCGAAAGCUAUUUAGGUAGCGCCUCGUGAAUUCAUCUCCGGGGGUAGAGCACUGUUUCGGCAAGGGGGUCAUCCCGACUUACCAACCCGAUGCAAACUGCGAAUACCGGAGAAUGUUAUCACGGGAGACACACGGCGGGUGCUAACGUCCGUCGUGAAGAGGGAAACAACCCAGACCGCCAGCUAAGGUCCCAAAGUCAUGGUUAAGUGGGAAACGAUGUGGGAAGGCCCAGACAGCCAGGAUGUUGGCUUAGAAGCAGCCAUCAUUUAAAGAAAGCGUAAUAGCUCACUGGUCGAGUCGGCCUGCGCGGAAGAUGUAACGGGGCUAAACCAUGCACCGAAGCUGCGGCAGCGACGCUKAUGCGUUGUUGGGUAGGGGAGCGUUCUGUAAGCCUGYGAAGGUGUGCUGUGAGGYAUGCUGGAGGUAUCAGAAGUGCGAAUGCUGACAUAAGUAACGAUAAAGCGGGUGAAAAGCCCGCUCGCCGGAAGACCAAGGGUUCCUGUCCAACGUUAAUCGGGGCAGGGUGAGUCGACCCCUAAGGCGAGGCCGAAAGGCGUAGUCGAUGGGAAACAGGUUAAUAUUCCUGUACUUGGUGUUACUGCGAAGGGGGGACGGAGAAGGCUAUGUUGGCCGGGCGACGGUUGUCCCGGUUUAAGCGUGUAGGCUGGUUUUCCAGGCAAAUCCGGAAAAUCAAGGCUGAGGCGUGAUGACGAGGCACUACGGUGCUGAAGCAACAAAUGCCCUGCUUCCAGGAAAAGCCUCUAAGCAUCAGGUAACAUCAAAUCGUACCCCAAACCGACACAGGUGGUCAGGUAGAGAAUACCAAGGCGCUUGAGAGAACUCGGGUGAAGGAACUAGGCAAAAUGGUGCCGUAACUUCGGGAGAAGGCACGCUGAUAUGUAGGUGAAGYSMCUUGCKSRUGGAGCUGAAAUCAGUCGAAGAUACCAGCUGGCUGCAACUGUUUAUUAAAAACACAGCACUGUGCAAACACGAAAGUGGACGUAUACGGUGUGACGCCUGCCCGGUGCCGGAAGGUUAAUUGAUGGGGUYAGCGCAAGCGAAGCUCUUGAUCGAAGCCCCGGUAAACGGCGGCCGUAACUAUAACGGUCCUAAGGUAGCGAAAUUCCUUGUCGGGUAAGUUCCGACCUGCACGAAUGGCGUAAUGAUGGCCAGGCUGUCUCCACCCGAGACUCAGUGAAAUUGAACUCGCUGUGAAGAUGCAGUGUACCCGCGGCAAGACGGAAAGACCCCGUGAACCUUUACUAUAGCUUGACACUGAACAUUGAGCCUUGAUGUGUAGGAUAGGUGGGAGGCUUKGAAGUGUGGACGCCAGUCUGCAUGGAGCCGACCUUGAAAUACCACCCUUUAAUGUUUGAUGUUCUAACGUUGACCCGURAUCCGGGUUGCGGACAGUGUCUGGUGGGUAGUUUGACUGGGGCGGUCUCCUCCUAAAGAGUAACGGAGGAGCACGAAGGUUGGCUAAUCCUGGUCGGACAUCAGGAGGUUAGUGCAAUGGCAUAAGCCAGCUUGACUGCGAGCGUGACGGCGCGAGCAGGUGCGAAAGCAGGUCAUAGUGAUCCGGUGGUUCUGAAUGGAAGGGCCAUCGCUCAACGGAUAAAAGGUACUCCGGGGAUAACAGGCUGAUACCGCCCAAGAGUUCAUAUCGACGGCGGUGUUUGGCACCUCGAUGUCGGCUCAUCACAUCCUGGGGCUGAAGUAGGUCCCAAGGGUAUGGCUGUUCGCCAUUUAAAGUGGUACGCGAGCUGGGUUUAGAACGUCGUGAGACAGUUCGGUCCCUAUCUGCCGUGGGCGCUGGAGAACUGAGGGGGGCUGCUCCUAGUACGAGAGGACCGGAGUGGACGCAUCACUGGUGUUCGGGUUGUCAUGCCAAUGGCACUGCCCGGUAGCUAAAUGCGGAAGAGAUAAGUGCUGAAAGCAUCUAAGCACGAAACUUGCCCCGAGAUGAGUUCUCCCUGACYCYUURAGRGUCCUGAAGGAACGUUGAAGACGACGACGUUGAUAGGCCGGGUGUGUAAGCGCAGCGAUGCGUUGAGCUAACCGGUACUAAUGAACCGUGAGGCUUAACC
RNAcentral lists this ribosomal RNA (2893 nucleotides) under Escherichia coli. RNAcentral describes it as "bacterial LSU rRNA". Lineage: Bacteria; Pseudomonadati; Pseudomonadota; Gammaproteobacteria; Enterobacterales; Enterobacteriaceae. The record is from RNAcentral.